Long non-coding RNA from Ananas comosus (pineapple), 642 nucleotides. RefSeq lists it as uncharacterized. The record is from RefSeq and is a predicted model, not a curated record. The transcript is spliced from 5 exons. Lineage: Eukaryota; Viridiplantae; Streptophyta; Magnoliopsida; Poales; Bromeliaceae.
CGUUGCGGAUUCUUGCUCGGGAGACGAAAGAAUUGCGCAACCGGGUCAUCCCGUAUGUGAAAGUGCAGUGGAGUAAUCAUGAUGAGCGGGAGGCGACUUGGGAGUCUGAGACGGUGAUGAGGGAAGCCUAUCCCUACUUGUUUGAUGCUUGAGUAGAGGGAAGAGAGAGAGAGGAGUUUAUCUCCUCUCUUCUCUCCUUUUCUCUUUCGUUCGGCCGUACCAAGGAAGCACGCGAGGGACGCCGCCGCGGAGCCGAUUUCGCCGUCGACGUCGCACCGCAGAGCCGUUCGAACCUACGGUUGCUGCCGUUGCAUCGUGAGGAGGCCGGGCGAGCGUGGAUCUUCGCCGUUCUUGACGUCGCGCCAGUGCUAGUCGCCGUCGAGAUUUCCAGCGUCGACCGUUGGCGUUUCGGCUCGUACUCGACGUAGGAGCGUCGGAUUUCGACGAGGCUUGAUUCGCUGGAUUCAGGACUUCGAGAGGAAUCCACGAAGCCCUUACUUGCCAGAUUUCGUUGAGAGCGUGGUGUUAGCUCGACUCCCGGAUUUGGAGGGUGUAGAUCGACCAGCAGGUGGUGCUGCAGCUGUGAGGGUGUUUUGCUGCCAGAAUUAGCGACUAAGAGCCACAGGUUUCGGCUGCUGCACC